GUUCAUUACAAUUGGCUAUUGUUAUGCCUGCAUGGACAAAGGUGGUUUUGCCACGAGCGCAGGCAUACUCGUCCUUGCCCAGUCUGUCCACUAAGGGCGUCCUGAAGGGCUCAAGCUGGACUGAACUUGACAAACACGAGAUGGAGCAUGGCAAACAUGGCACCAACAGAGCAUUGCCAUCCUAAGCAUUAAAGGUGAAAGAAUUUGAGACUAUAGAAAACAGGUGUAGUCAUUUAUACCCUCCUUGAAGAGCCACAGGGAAGAAUGCAUUUCCCCUGGAUGUCAGAGGCUUAGAGCUCUCUCUGCUUCCCUUCCCAAGCCUGGGCUAAACCAGUCCCCAAGGAAAACAUUGUGGGAUGAUCUGGAAUCCCACCAGAAACUGAUCUCAACGCUACCUCAGGGCAAGGAGCUGCAGUAGUGCAGGAGGGGGCAAAGUGGGACUAGAAUGGACCAGAACGAACGCUGCUUCCCGUGAAUGCCACGUCUUUCUUGGAUAAGUGUGACCAUGGACUACCCAAGAUUGCCACAUUCUGAAUGUUUAAACUGCUACAAGUAAAGGGCAUUUGAAAACUUCAGCUGGAAGCUAGUACACACAGUCGGUCAACCAUGACUAAAUUGCAAGCCAACAGCGAGCCUGGAAUCCACCCAAAGGUUUGGAUUUCUAUCAGCGUUUAUGAAUGCCGACUGCCCUGCCUCCUCCUGGUUCUUGACCCCUGCAUAUCAAAUGACUUCUCUCACUACCCGGAACUUCAGGAUCAUAACGACAGCUCUUUGGAAUGAGGCAGCAUGUCAACUGGGAAUAGAUUGAUUUCCCUGAAAGAUCGAAUUUACAAUCUUCUGCUGAUUGAAACAUUUGAAGCUUGGUUGAUGAAGUACCAGUGAGGCAGUUUAUACAGCUGCGAGGGCACAGAUGCAGGAAAAGAUGCUGGCUUUCCCUUCAAGUGAGUGCUCACGUGUCCACUGUGAAACAAGGUUCAUGUGCUGGAUGCAUAACCCCUGGCGGGAGGAGUACUUGGAAAGUGAUAAAAACUCUAAGAAGUAAGUUGGGGGCUUGGACACUGGGACACACUGCAGAAGGUAAUUGCUAUUCCCUUAUUCCUCUGAUUCUUGUCUCCCUGAGUUGAAGAAGUGUAUCAUGUGUUUCCAGUACAGUGAUGCUCUGCCCAAGCACAUGGGACCAAGCAGCCAUGAACUGAUCCUCCUGAAACCAUAAGACAAAUCUUUGCUACUUGAACCCAAUCUCUGAGAUAUUUCGAUCAAAGCAGCACAAAUAAACAAGCAAACUUAAGUCAUACAAAAAAAUUGGUUCCAGAAGUGAGGUGUGACUAAAAUAUGACCAUGUAGUUCUUAAGCCUUUGAGACUAACUGGUAUGAAGGAGGAAUUUGAAAAAGUGGAUUUGCAGCCUAGAGAUUACCAGAAGAGUCAAACUGGCAAUUCUGAUAAAAAUUCAGAAGACACAGAGUGUUGACAGAAGUGUGAAGUUAAGAUUAUGUUGUGUGGGGGCUGGCGAGAUGGCUCAGCAGAUAAGAGCGCUGACUGUUCUUCCAAAGGUCCUGAGUUUGGAUCCCAGCAACUACAUGGUGGCUCACAGCCAUCUGUAAUGAGAUCAGAUGGCCUUCUUCUGGUGUGUCUGAAGACAGCUAAGUGAAUUGCAGGCUGGAGCAAGCAAGUGAGUGAGCAAGUGAGUGGGGCUGGCAGAGGUCCUGAGUUCAAUUCC
This is a long non-coding RNA of Mastomys coucha (southern multimammate mouse), 1718 nucleotides long. RefSeq lists it as uncharacterized. The record is from RefSeq and is a predicted model, not a curated record. The transcript has 6 exons. Lineage: Eukaryota; Metazoa; Chordata; Mammalia; Rodentia; Muridae.